GAUGAACGCUGGCGGCGUGCAUAACACAUUCAAGUCGAACGAGGUAGCAAUACCUAGUGGCGGACGGGUGAGUAACGCGUGAGCAACCUGCCUUUCAGAGGGGGACAACAGUUGGAAACGACUGCUAAUACCGCAUAACGUAUCGGAACCGCAUGGCUCUGAUACCAAAGAUUUUAUCGCUGAAAGAUGGGCUCGCGUACGAUUAGAUAGUUGGUGAGGUAACGGCUCACCAAGUCGACGAUCGUUAGCCGGACUGAGAGGUUGAACGGCCACAUUGGGACUGAGACACGGCCCAGACUCCUACGGGAGGCAGCAGUGAGGAAUAUUGGGCAAUGGGCGCAAGCCUGACCCAGCAAUGCCGCGUGAAGGAUGAAGGUUUUCGGAUUGUAAACUUCUUUUAAGAGGGACGAUAAUGACGGUACCUCUUGAAUAAGCCACGGCUAACUACGUG
RNAcentral lists this ribosomal RNA (451 nucleotides) under uncultured bacterium. RNAcentral describes it as "bacterial SSU rRNA". It matches the Rfam family "Bacterial small subunit ribosomal RNA", at positions 28 to 507 of the family's 1533-position model. The record is from RNAcentral.